GAUCCUGGCUCAGAAUCAACGCUGGCGGCGCGCUUAACACAUGCAAGUCGCACGAGAAAGCCCGCAAGGGUGAGUACAGUGGCGUACGGGUGAGUAACACGUGGAUGAUCUACCUUCUAGUGGGGAAUAACCCUGGGAAACCGGGGCUAAUACCGCAUAAGCUCGAGAGAGGAAAGCAGCAAUGCGCUGGAAGAGGAGUCCGCGGCCGAUUAGCUAGUUGGCAGGGUAAAAGCCUACCAAGGCGGAGAUCGGUAGCCGGCCUGAGAGGGCACACGGCCACACUGGCACUGAAACACGGGCCAGACUCCUACGGGAGGCAGCAGUGGGGAAUCUUGCACAAUGGGGGAAACCCUGAUGCAGCGACGCCGCGUGAGCGAUGAAGCCCUUCGGGGUGUAAAGCUCUUUCGGCAGGGAAGAUGAUGACGGUACCUGCAGAAGCAGCUGCGGCUAACUACGUGCCAGCAGCCGCGGUAAUACGUAGGCAGCGAGCGUUGUUCGGAGUUACUGGGCGUAAAGGGUGUGUAGGCGGUUGUUUAAGUUUGGUGUGAAAUCUCCCGGCUCAACUGGGAGGGUGCGCCGAAUACUGAAUGACUUGGAGUGCGGGAGAGGAAAGUGGAAUUCCUGGUGUAGCGGUGAAAUGCGUAGAUAUCAGGAGGAACACCGGUGGUGUAGACGGCUUUCUGGACCGUA
RNAcentral lists this ribosomal RNA (690 nucleotides) under uncultured Acidobacteriota bacterium. RNAcentral describes it as "bacterial SSU rRNA". It matches the Rfam family "Bacterial small subunit ribosomal RNA", at positions 15 to 738 of the family's 1533-position model. Lineage: Bacteria; Pseudomonadati; Acidobacteriota. The record is from RNAcentral.